This is a non-coding RNA of Cyphomyrmex costatus, 45 nucleotides long. The record is from Rfam. Lineage: Eukaryota; Metazoa; Arthropoda; Insecta; Hymenoptera; Formicidae.
CAAUCGGCCCUUUUCAGGGCCACUAAAGAUCUCAAAACGUUGUAU